AAGCAUAUCGCGCCAUAGCACAGUGGUUAAGAGAUGAUGCUUUGGAUUCCAAGCCCUUUUACUUUAAUUUUUCAAUCUUGGGAAAAAUUCCUAGCCUCUCGGAGGCUUGGUGCUGUAAAACAGGGAUAGUAAUACCUGCUCCCCACUCUCUGCUCCCAGGCAGAGCAUCUGUGAAGAUUUGGAGAGCUGGUGCCUGUGCAGCCCUGGGCAUUGUGGAUGGCACGAGGUCAGUGUUCAGUAAAGAGUAGUUAUUUUAUUAUUUCCAUGUGUAUAUAUGCAUGAGAUCUCUGGGCACAUGAGAAUUUUUCAAAGUCCAACUUAGCUGCAAAAUAAAUCAGCCCCAUUUCAGAAAACCAAAAGCAUGCAGGCAUGGAGAUGAACAGAUUCCUUUCCUGUUUACCCUUUGCCACCUCCUUCUAUAACUGUAAGGUCUUUGUCCAAAUUUCCAGGGACCAAACCUGUUCUUGAACCCUGUCUAGAAAUGGGAGCAUUGUCCACACGUGGAAAAGCUUUCAGCGGAAACAGACACGAGGUGGUUGAUCCUUUCUUCUUGAUCCAGUCUGGGCAUUCACCUUGUAGUUGGCUGGGCUCAGUCUCUUGCUCUGGAUGGUCGUAACUGACCCAGUCUCGGGAGCUACCAAAACGAGAGAGACUGGGAAGCUUGGUGUUCAGUCAUCACUGGGAGCCUACUAGGAGAACAAGCUGGAGACAGGAAGAAGAAGAGCGGGAGAGAGAGGGAGAGAGACGGAUGGAAGGCAGUGCUGCUGUCCCAGGGAGUCCUAGGGUAAUU
This is a long non-coding RNA of Bos taurus (domestic cattle), 790 nucleotides long. Lineage: Eukaryota; Metazoa; Chordata; Mammalia; Artiodactyla; Bovidae. The record is from Ensembl.